AGAGGGUGCAAGCGUUAAUCGGAAUUACUGGGCGUAAAGCGCACGUAGGCGGAUAUUUAAGUCGGGUGUGAAAGCCCCGGGCUCAACCUGGGAACUGCAUUCGAUACUGGAUAUCUAGAGUAUGGUAGAGGGUAGUGGAAUUCCCGGUGUAGCGGUGAAAUACGUAGAUAUCGGGAAGAACAUCAGUGGCGAAGGCGGCUGCCUGGACCAAUACUGACGCUGAGGUGCGAAAGCGUGGGGAGCAAACAGGAUUAGAGACCCUGGUAGUCCACGCCGUAAACGAUGAGAACUAGAUGCUAGGGAGCAUGACUUUUUAGUAUCGUAGCUAACGCGUUAAGCUCUCCGCCUGGGAGUACGGCCGCAAGGUUA
RNAcentral lists this ribosomal RNA (369 nucleotides) under uncultured organism. RNAcentral's name for it is "partial 16S ribosomal RNA". It matches the Rfam family "Bacterial small subunit ribosomal RNA", at positions 527 to 896 of the family's 1533-position model. The record is from RNAcentral.